RNA transcript from Sapajus apella (tufted capuchin), 3739 nucleotides. It is a transcript of the gene named leucine rich repeat containing 70, with no coding region annotated. Lineage: Eukaryota; Metazoa; Chordata; Mammalia; Primates; Cebidae. The record is from RefSeq and is a predicted model, not a curated record. The transcript is spliced from 4 exons.
GCCUACAGAAUGGGAGAACUAAUAAGUAUUCUUUGACUGUGUUAGCUAUUUUUGCCAUAGAGAACAAAAUUAAUACUCUGGUUAUAUUACUGUGUGGGUUUUUUCCCUUUAAAUUAAUUUUUAUUUCAAAAGACCCUUUCUCUGACUUUUUCCUAACUCUUUAAGUUAUAUUAUGCAAUUGAAAAAUCCGUGGGACAAGCCUCAUAUCACUUUGUAUGUUAUUGGAAGUACUAAACCAAGUGGACCUGAGAAACCUAGCCCUACCUCAAGUUCAUGUCAUUUUUGUCAUUUGUUUUGUUUUCUGGUUUUUAAUGCAUAAAAUAGCAGUAACAAUAGCCAGCCAUAAAGGAUAGUUAUAAGAACCAUAAAUCAUUUUGAUAAAGAUCUGCUAUUCAGUAUGCAUUUCUGAAUUUUUAGUCAUAGAAAGAUAGUGCUAGAUAUUAUUUCAGGUAUCUAGUGUGGACAUAAUUAUUAUGUAAAGUAAUUGUUGUCUUGAUGUGAAAUAAAACUGCUUUAACAUCAAAGAAAAGUUCUAUACAAUUAUAUAACUAUUGAUAUUUUAGGAAUAUUAUCAGGGUAUUAGUAAUAUUAAUGAAAGAAUUAGAAAGCUUAAGCAACUAGCCUUUUGGAAAGUUAAUGACUGAACAAUAUAUAAUAUAAAUAAUUUAUAUUCAAUUCUUUAAAUUCUUAAAUUACAUUAAAAUUCCCCAUUUUUGUUCUAAAAGAUUCAAACUAAUUCAGAUAUAUAUAGGGCAAAAACAUCGCCACUUUCAGUCUCCCCAACUUUUCUUGCAAAGAUAACCUAUGUCAGUAAUUUGGUAUGCAGCUUAUUACCGUCUUAUAACCCAUGGCAACCAAUUAGUGCCUUAAUACUAAUUAAUACCUUAACUACUAGUUAGUACCUUAACAUGUUAAGUAGUACCCAGUAGUUUUUGCCACCAAAAAUAUUUUGAAAAUUUUAAAAAGAGCACUAGAGGAUAAUAUAACAACAUUUGUGUUCACCAUUCUAAAUUGUUUUUUCCUAUUUUUAUUAAAGGAAUAAAGCAUAAAGUUGAAGUCUUCAAUAUGUAUUUAAAACAAUGUAAAUAUUUUAUUCGUUAUAAAGCCUACAAAAAUUAUCUUACUCUCUAUGCAUCUUAUUUCAACUAGUCUUUUCCAUUUAAUAGCUAUGUUGUUGAUAGCUAGAGUCUGUUGUUUAUGUUUAGGUUCUGAAUAACUAAGGGUUUCAGGUAUUCUGUAAAAACUAUGAUUUUUAAAUUAUAGGAGAUGUUUCGAUGUGUAUGUUAGGAAAACUCUAACUGCAUUCAGAAAAAAUAAGUUCCCGAGAUUUCCGUUCAGUAAUACUUUUGAAACACAGAUAAAAUUACUUCCUGUCGCUCAGCUUCCUGUAUCCAUGGCAACCUCUGUUUUACACAUUGACUCUAAAGGAACCAAUGUGAAGAGUGGUGUUUCCUGAGCAAACUGUGACUUUAAAAAAAGGUGGUGGGGUGGAGGUCAGCAGUGCCACAGAACAAAAUGGAGUUUGGAAAUGUCGUUCUUCAGAUUUAGAAAGAAAACCUUUACUGAAUCAGCUGAGCGUUAAUAAUAUGAAUUUCCUGUUUCUGCCAAUUCUGAUCUGAACAGAAAAACCAAGAACAGGGAUAUGUAUGGAUUACAGUUUUCUCUGCUUUGCCUACGACUGUUUCUGCUUGUUACCUGUUAUAUUUUAUUAUUACUUCACAAAGAAAUACUUGGAUGUUCGUCUGUUUGUCAGCUCUGCACUGGGAGACAAAUUAACUGCCGUAACCUAGGCCUUUCGAGUAUUCCUCAGAAUUUUCCUGAAAGUACAGUUUUUCUGUAUCUGACUGGAAAUAAUAUAUCUUAUAUAAAUGAAAGUGAACUAACAGGACUUCAUUCUCUUGUAGCACUGUAUUUGGAUAAUUCUAACAUUCUGUAUGUAUAUCCAAAAGCCUUUGUUCAAUUGAGGCAUCUAUAUUUUCUAUUUCUAAAUAAUAAUUUUAUCAAACGCUUAGAUCCUGGAAUAUUUAAGGGACUGGUAAAUCUUCGUAAUUUAUAUUUACAGUCUAAUCAGGUAUCUUUUGUUCCAAGAGGAGUAUUUAAUGAUCUAGUUUCAGUUCAGUACUUAAAUCUACAAAGGAAUCGCCUCACUGUUCUUGGAAGUGGUACCUUUGUUGGUAUGGUUGCUCUUCGGAUACUUGACUUAUCAAACAAUAACAUUUUGAGAAUAUCAGACUCAGGGUUUCAGCAUCUUGGAAACCUUGCUUGUUUGUAUCUAGAAAGUAAUACUUUAACAAAAGUACCAUCAAAUGCCUUUGAAGUACUUAAAAGUCUUAGAAGACUUUCUUUGUCUCAUAAUCCCAUUGAAGUAAUACAGCCCUUUGCAUUUAAAGGACUUGUCAACUUGGAAUAUCUCCUUCUGAAAAAUUCAAGAAUUAGAAAUAUUACUAGGGAUGGAUUUAGUGGAAUUAAUAAUCUUAAACAUUUGAUCUUAAGUCAUAAUGAUUUAGAGAAUUUAAAUUCUGACACAUUUAGUUUGUUAAAGAAUUUAAUUUACCUUAAGUUAGAUAGAAACAGAAUAGUUAGCAUUGAUAAUGAUACAUUUGAAAACAUGGGAGCAUCUUUGAAGAUCCUUAAUCUGUCAUUUAAUAAUCUUACAGACUUGCAUCCAAGGGUCCUUAAGCCAUUGUCUUCAUUGAUUCAUCUUCAGGCAAAUUCUAAUCCUUGGGAAUGUAACUGCAAACUUGCGGGCCUUCGAGACUGGCUAACAUCUUCAGCCAUUACCCUAAACAUCUAUUGUCAGAAUCCCCCAUCCAUGCGUGGCAGAGCAUUACGUUAUAUUAACAUUACAAAUUGUGUUACGUCUUCAACAAAUGUAUCCAGAGCUUGGGUUGUUGUAAAAUCUCCUCACAUUCAUCACAAGACUACUGCACUAAUGAUGGCCUGGCCUAAAGUAACCACCAGUGGCAAUCCUCUGGAAAAUACUGAGACUGAGAGCAUUACUUUCUGGGAACGAAAAUCUACUUCACCUGCCGGUAGAUUUUUUCAAGAGAAUGCCUUUGGUAAUCCAUUAGAGACUACAGCAGUGUUACCUGUGCAGAUACAGCUUACUACUUCUGUUACCUUGAACUUGGAAAAAAACAGUGCUCUACCGAUUGAUGCUGCUUCAAUGUCAGGGAAAACAUCUCUGAUUUGUACACAAGAAGUUGAGAAGUUGAAUGAGGCUUUUGACAUUUUGCUGGCUUUUUUCAUCUUAGCUUGUGUUUUAAUCAUUUUUUUGAUCUACAAAGUUGUUCAAUUUAAACAAAAACUAAAGGCACUAGAAAACUCAAGGGAAAAUAGACUUGAAUACUACAGCUUUUAUCAGUCAGCAAGGUAUAAUGUAACUGCCUCAAUUUGUAACAGUAAUCCAAAUUUUCUAGAAAGUCCUGGCUUGGAGCAGAUUCGACUUCAUAAACAGAUUGUUCCUGAAAAUGAGGCACAGGUCAUUCUUUUUGAACAUUCUGCUUUAUAACUCAAGUAAAUAUUGUCUAUAAGAAACUUUGGUGCCAUGGACAUGAUUAAAACUGAAACCUCCUUAUAGAAGUAUAUACUUGGAAAUACAAUGAAUUAUAUGAGUGUUAUCCAAGAUAAAUUCUGUGGGAUUAUAAACAUCUCAGUGGAAGGCCUGCACGACGUCAUGACGGAAGAUCCUGAAACAGGAACUUAUAAAGACUGUAUGUUGAUGUCUCAUCUUGAGGAA